ACGAUGCAGAAGCUGGGGGUGGAUUGUGACCGAAUGAAUGAGGUACAGGUGGUGAUUGACACUCCUGACCACCAAUCAGUAGCGAGCAGGCACUAUUUAGAGCGGGUUGGUUUGAGCCUGGCAUGCGUCACGUCCGUAUCCUCCCCUUUUCCGGCUGCUAUAGUGAUUUCAGCCUGUCGUUUCAGUGUGUGUCCCUGUUGGAUGUUGUUUUGGAUCUGUUUACUGCCCUUCCUGCAGUUAAACAGCAGGUUAUUUGAAGGCUGCGUAUCCUGAGCGGUGAAUUGAUUCUCAGGAACUUAUCUAUCCGCGUUUGGAUCCUCCUUUUUCGUCCUGGGUGAUUAUUGCUGCAAUUCGACUUUUCCCUCGCUGCAUGCCGAGUGAACAACCUUGGCUUACAACUAUUUAAAAGGGGAAUGACCAUCCAUCAUAUAACGGUGGAAUUGUGACCUUAAUUUGCUGUUUCCUUCAUUUUGUCUGAGAUUUAUUUUGCUUUUGGUUUCUUUCAGGAGCUGGGGUCCCACGGGUGAAGGGUCUUUGGUGGUGCUAUUUCUACAUUUGCCGUGCGACACUUUUGACGUGUAUGAGUGGGUGCACUGAGUUCACGGUGAGGUGUGUGUGUGUGUGGGUGUGGAAGUGUGCUUUUUGAUAAUUAGUGCUGAUCACUCUGGUGGGUAACCCCAGCCCUGUAUGUAAUGAUUUUAUGUUUUGUUUAUUUGGAAAUUGUGUAAAUUUAUUGUUUAAUAUUUUGUGUCUGAUUGUUUAUUUUUUUGUUAUUUGUGUAAUUGUCAUCGGACCAUAUUCACCAGCGAGAACAUUUUCUUUUUGUUUUUAUAUUUUAAAACCAAGUUUUCAAUAAACUCUGUAUUGUUUUAUACGA
Silurus meridionalis is the source of this 877-nucleotide long non-coding RNA. RefSeq lists it as uncharacterized. The record is from RefSeq and is a predicted model, not a curated record. The transcript has 4 exons. NCBI's taxonomy places the organism in Eukaryota, Metazoa, Chordata, Actinopteri, Siluriformes, Siluridae.